This 1312-nucleotide long non-coding RNA is filed under the name Ananas comosus (pineapple). RNAcentral's name for it is "long non-coding RNA (ACOM_LNC007099)". Lineage: Eukaryota; Viridiplantae; Streptophyta; Magnoliopsida; Poales; Bromeliaceae. The record is from RNAcentral.
CCUCUGACACAGCGCCACCGUGGCGCUGACAUGGCGUCUCCGUAGCGCUGACGUGGAGAUGACGUGGCAUUUUCGGUCAAUUUUAACAGCUAUCUAACGGCUGGAACUUAAUUGAAAUGAAAUCAAAAGAUUAGGGACUUGAUUGCAAAAAAAAAAGGUUGGGGACCAAAUUGAAAAACAGUGUAAAGUUAGGGACCAUUGGUGUAAUUAACCCCAUUUUUUUAAUUGAAAUUAUUUAUGUAUCACAAAUCUCUUCACAUCUUUUCACCGUUAUAAAAACUUAAGACCUCUUUAUUUUAUUGAAUGCGCUAAUAGAAAUGGUUGAAGUUACAAUAGAAAUUUUAACUACUUGGUAAUAGAAGUAAUAUUGUCACGCCCCGCGACCAACCGCCAAUUUGGACCGGGUCGCGGCGCCGACGACAGACCGUCGAAUGGAUCAGGAUUUUUCCUGUACGCGGACAGAGUCUCCUCUGUACGUUCUAGGCGUCGCAAUCCAAACAAUCAACGAAUGUUCCAAGUAGGAACGGAUAUCAAUCCAGAUUGCAUAAGGAAGUAUCAAAUACAUAAAACUAAUAGCUAUUACAAGCAUUCAUUCGCAUUCAAUUAAUACAACUCAGUUACAUUUUACUUCCAAAUUACAAUCUAAUUAUCACAUCAUUUAAUUUACAAGUUUGAUACAUUUUCCUUUCUAGCUUUCUAGUCCCCUAAGCUAGACUGCGUCAGGGUACUGCUACCUCGGUCUCUGUGGUAGGGCGCUAUCUACUGAGCUAUGCCCUCGCCUCGCGCCACCGCGCUGCACACGUACAACCUGAAAACACCCCAAAACCACGUGGGGUGAGAACCAACUCCAUGGUUCCCAGUGGGUACGGCCACCCAAGGGAAAAGCUCGACCGAUAGGUCCGAGGAGGCACUGCAACAUGUUAGUUCAACAAUAUACAACAGAUAUAUAUUCAAUUGAAAUACAUGCCAUGCCUCACGAUAUGCGAUAUGAAAAUCAUGCAGCUCUAUGCAACAACUAGUAGAUCAUUAGAUUCUACAUUUUACUAAGCUACUCUUAGCUUACAACUUUACUCUAAGGUCUCCAUUACCUUAGGAUCUCAACUCAGUCCACUGGCUUCUAAGGUCUCUAUUACCUUAGCUCAAGCCUCUAUCUCUAGCUCAUAAGGGUUCCUCUACCCUAUCGAUGCUAACCACACGACUCGGCUUCGAGUCAAUCAUUCGCGGAUAACCCGCGCACUGGCUGCUCAUCAGCCUACCGCCCUCUCUGUCUCAGCCCCCUAGCGGCGAAAUCGUCGCACACGCUAAGCUCGGC